AAAUAUUCAAAAGCAGUGUGGAGUUUAUAGAGUCGUUCAAUGCCGCAGGAAACCGUGGUUACAAGCUAAGCAUAAAUGAAUUUGCAGAUCAGACCAACGAGUUUAAGGCUUACAGGAAUGGAUACGGAAGGCCACAGAGACUGAAAUCAAGAAAACAGACAUCAUUUAGGUACGAGAAUGUAACAAGUUUGCCUGCCAGCAUAGACUGGAGGAAAAGAGGAGCCGUUACGCCCAUCAAGGACCAAGCACAAUGUGGUAAGCAAUAUGUAACAGUUAGAGCAUACACCUAAAUCUUACUUUGAUAAACCAAAAUAAUGAAAAACUCAUUUAAAAAACAGGUAGCUGCUGGGCAUUUUCGGCUGUCGCAGCAACUGAAGGAAAUCACCACCUACAAGACAAGUAAUUUCCUUGUCUGAGCAAGAACUGGUUGAUUGUGAUAAAGGUGUGGAUCAUGGAUGUGAAGAUGGUGAAAUGGAAGAUGAAUUUGAAUUCAGAAUCAGAUAUCAUGGCAUUGCAUCAGAAGCCACUUACCCUUACAAGGGUGAUGAUGGUAAUUGCAACAAAUCAAUCGAAGCUUCCCAUGCAGCUACAAUUAGUGGCUAUGAGAUUGUUCCUGCGAAUAAUGAACAGGCGUUACAGAAAGAUGUUGCAAACCAACCGGUAUCAGUGUCCAUUGAUGCCGAAGGUUAUUCCUUCCAAUUCUACUCGAGAGGAAUUUUCACCGGAGAGUGCGGAACUGAACUAGACCAUGGUAUUACAGCUGUUGGGUACGGUACCUCUGAAGAUUGUAUUGAUUAUUGGCUUAUCAAGAAUUCAUGGGGCACAGGACGGGGUGAAAAAGGAUACAUCAUGAUGCAGCGAAACAUCAAAGCUAAAGGUCUUUGCCGCAUAGCCAUGGACUCCUCUUAUCCAACAGUCAAACAAAAAAAAACUUCAAUAUCAUG
RNAcentral lists this long non-coding RNA (944 nucleotides) under Gossypium barbadense (sea-island cotton). RNAcentral's name for it is "long non-coding RNA (GBAR_LNC011057)". The record is from RNAcentral. Lineage: Eukaryota; Viridiplantae; Streptophyta; Magnoliopsida; Malvales; Malvaceae.